RNAcentral lists this ribosomal RNA (375 nucleotides) under uncultured bacterium. Its description in RNAcentral is "bacterial SSU rRNA". It matches the Rfam family "Bacterial small subunit ribosomal RNA", at positions 28 to 412 of the family's 1533-position model. The record is from RNAcentral.
GAUGAACGCUGGCGGCGUGCCUAACACAUGCAAGUCGAGCGAUUCUCUUCGGAGAAGAGCGGCGGACGGGUGAGUAACGCGUGGGUAACCUGCCCUGUACACACGGAUAACAUACCGAAAGGUAUGCUAAUACGAGAUAAUAUGCUUUUAUCGCAUGGUAGAAGUAUCAAAGCUCCGGCGGUACAGGAUGGACCCGCGUCUGAUUAGCUAGUUGGUAAGGUAACGGCUUACCAAGGCGACGAUCAGUAGCCGACCUGAGAGGGUGAUCGGCCACAUUGGAACUGAGACACGGUCCAAACUCCUACGGGAGGCAGCAGUGGGGAAUAUUGCACAAUGGGCGAAAGCCUGAUGCAGCAACGCCGCGUGAGCGAUGAA